RNAcentral lists this ribosomal RNA (513 nucleotides) under uncultured bacterium. RNAcentral describes it as "partial 16S ribosomal RNA". It matches the Rfam family "Bacterial small subunit ribosomal RNA", at positions 28 to 508 of the family's 1533-position model. The record is from RNAcentral.
GAUGAACGCUGGCGGCGUGCCUAAUACAUGCAAGUCGAACGAAACUUCUUUAUCACCGAGUGCUUGCACUCACCGAUAAAGAGUUGAGUGGCGAACGGGUGAGUAACACGUGGGCAACCUGCCCAAAAGAGGGGGAUAACACUUGGAAACAGGUGCUAAUACCGCAUAACCAUAGUUACCGCAUGGUAACUAUGUAAAAGGUGGCUAUACUACCGCUUUUGGAUGGGCCCGCGGCGCAUUAGCUAGUUGGUAGGGUAAAGGCUUACCAAGGCAAUGAUGCGUAGCCGAAUUGAGAGGUUGAUCGGCCACAUUGGGACUGAGACACGGCCCAAACUCCUACGGGAGGCAGCAGUAGGGAAUCUUCCACAAUGGGCGAAAGCCUGAUGGAGCAACGCCGCGUGGGUGAAGAAGGUCUUCGGAUCGUAAAACCCUGUUGUUAGAGAAGAAAGUGCGUGAGAGUAACUGUUCACGUUUCGACGGUAUCUAACCAGAAAGCCACGGCUAACUACGUGC